AUGAGAGAAGGGCAGCGGAGAGCGUCCGUACUGGUGAGGUGCUGCAACGGGGAUCGGCUGGAGCGCGGAAGCGGUCUCAUCGGCGACGGGACGAAGGAGGCGCGAGUCCUGCCCACACCCCGCGCCCCAGGGAUCCCGCUGGUGAGAGUCUACGGGGCGAGGUCCUGGUGCAGCUGGUGCCUGGAGAGGAAGGCCCUCGUCCUAGGCUGGGAACUGUGGUGCUGCGCGUGUGGAGGAAGCAGAGGAGACUGCCCAGUGUUUAUGUUGUUGCAGCUGUAUCUCUGGACAGAAAUGUUUCUUGAAUUCGGUAGAGCUCCCUGAGCUCGAAGGUGGGUGCGCUGUCCCGAGAGCGGGCUGGCAGCGACUGUCCUGCAAAUAAUAAAAACUUCUGCUUUCCUUUCUUAAGGUGAGCU
This 413-nucleotide long non-coding RNA is filed under the name Chrysolophus pictus (golden pheasant). RNAcentral's name for it is "lncRNA (ENSCPIG00010014523.1)". The record is from RNAcentral. Lineage: Eukaryota; Metazoa; Chordata; Aves; Galliformes; Phasianidae.